Molecule: transfer RNA, 105 nt
Filed under: Caudoviricetes sp.
Lineage: Duplodnaviria; Heunggongvirae; Uroviricota; Caudoviricetes
Description: tRNA-Ser
Rfam family: tRNA
About the family: Transfer RNA (tRNA) molecules are approximately 80 nucleotides in length. Their secondary structure includes four short double-helical elements and three loops (D, anti-codon, and T loops).
Source: RNAcentral
UGGGCUGUAGUUCAGUGGGCAGAACGGGACGUGGCUAUUUGUCGUGUCGCAACAUGACAAGUGUCACGUCUAUAUGUCGCGGGUUCGAGUCCCGUCAGCCCCCGA